RNAcentral lists this ribosomal RNA (500 nucleotides) under uncultured bacterium. RNAcentral's name for it is "partial 16S ribosomal RNA". It matches the Rfam family "Bacterial small subunit ribosomal RNA", at positions 30 to 523 of the family's 1533-position model. The record is from RNAcentral.
AUUGAACGCUGGCGGAAUGCUUUACACAUGCAAGUCGAACGGCAGCACGGACUUCGGUCUGGUGGCGAGUGGCGAACGGGUGAGUAAUAUAUCGGAACGUAUCCAAUAAUGGGGGAUAACUAAUCGAAAGGUUGGCUAAUACCGCAUACGUCCUACGGGAGAAAGCUAGGGACCUUCGGGCCUGGCGUUAAUGGAGCGGCCGAUAUAGGAUUAGAUAGGUGGUGAGGUAAAGGCGCACCAAGGCAACGAUCCGUAGCUGGUCUGAGAGGACGACCAGCCACACUGGAACUGAGACACGGUCCAGACUCCUACGGGAGGCAGCAGUGGGGAAUUUUGGACAAGGGGCGAAAGCCUGAUCCAGCCAUUCCGCGUGAGUGAAGAAGGCCUUCGGGUUGUAAAGCUCUUUCGCAAGAGAAGAAAACUUACCCUCUAACAUAGGGUGAGGUUGACGGUAUCUUGAUAAGAAGCACCGGCUAACUACGUGCCAGCCGCCGCCGUAA